AUCAGAAAAAAUAAAAAAUCGACAAAGCAGUUAUUGGAUUCCAAUGAAUAACAAAACGUAUAACGUUUGGAUGUACUUUUUCAUGUUCUUUUCCCUUUUUCUCUUUUUUUU
This 111-nucleotide non-coding RNA is filed under the name Proboscia alata. Lineage: Eukaryota; Bacillariophyta; Melosirophyceae; Probosciales; Probosciaceae. The record is from RNAcentral.